RNAcentral lists this ribosomal RNA (254 nucleotides) under uncultured bacterium. RNAcentral's name for it is "partial 16S ribosomal RNA". It matches the Rfam family "Bacterial small subunit ribosomal RNA", at positions 524 to 776 of the family's 1533-position model. The record is from RNAcentral.
UACGAAGGGGGCAAGCGUUGUUCGGAAUUAUUGGGCGUAAAGGGAGCGUAGGCGGUUCGGCAAGUCUUUAGUGAAAUCUCUGGGCUCAACUCAGAGUCUGCUGGAGAAACUGCCGGGCUGGAGUAUGGGAGAGGUGAGUGGAAUUCCCGGUGUAGCGGUGAAAUGCGUAGAUAUCGCCUGGAACGCCGAAGGUGAAAACAGUCUGCUGGGGGCGCACCGACGCUGAGACACGAAAGCCCAGGGGAGCGAACGGG